RNAcentral lists this transfer RNA (64 nucleotides) under pig gut metagenome. It matches the Rfam family "tRNA", at positions 5 to 66 of the family's 71-position model. From Rfam's summary of the family: Transfer RNA (tRNA) molecules are approximately 80 nucleotides in length. Their secondary structure includes four short double-helical elements and three loops (D, anti-codon, and T loops). Further hydrogen bonds mediate the characteristic L-shaped molecular structure. tRNAs have two regions of fundamental functional importance: the anti-codon, which is responsible for specific mRNA codon recognition, and the 3' end, to which the tRNAs corresponding amino acid is attached (by aminoacyl-tRNA synthetases). tRNAs cope with the degeneracy of the genetic code in two manners: having more than one tRNA (with a specific anti-codon) for a particular amino acid; and 'wobble' base-pairing, i.e. permitting non-standard base-pairing at the 3rd anti-codon position. The record is from RNAcentral.
UCGUAGUCCAGUGGAUAGGACGCCGGCCUCCGGAGCCAGAAGCGAGGGUUCGAUUCCCUCCGAG